ACCCCGAGGAAAAGAAAUCAACCGAGAUUCCCCCAGUAGCGGCGAGCGAACGGGGAGCAGCCCAGAGUCUGAAUCAGCUUGUGUGUUAGUGGAACGGUCUGGAAAGUCCGACGGUACAGGGUGAUAGUCCCGUACACCAAAAUGCACAGGUUGUGAACUCGAAGAGUAGGGCGGGACACGUGGUAUCCUGUCUGAAUAUGGGGGGACCAUCCUCCAAGGCUAAAUACUCCUGACUGACCGAUAGUGAACCAGUACCGUGAGGGAAAGGCGAAAAGAACCCCGGCGAGGGGAGUGAAAAAGA
This 301-nucleotide ribosomal RNA is filed under the name Klebsiella pneumoniae. Its description in RNAcentral is "bacterial LSU rRNA". It matches the Rfam family "Bacterial large subunit ribosomal RNA", at positions 208 to 547 of the family's 2925-position model. The record is from RNAcentral. Lineage: Bacteria; Pseudomonadati; Pseudomonadota; Gammaproteobacteria; Enterobacterales; Enterobacteriaceae.